GACGAACGCUGGCGGCGUGCCUAAUACAUGCAAGUCGAGCGCUGAAGGGUGGUACUUGUACCAACUGGAUGAGCAGCGAACGGGUGAGUAACGCGUGGGUAAUCUGCCUUUGAGCGGGGGAUAACAUUAGGAAACGAAUGCUAAUACCGCAUAAAAACUUGAAACACAAGGUUCAAGGUUGAAAGAUGCAAUUGCAUCACUCAAAGAUGAUCCCGCGUUUUAUUAGCUAGUUGGUGAGGUAAAGGCUCACCAAGGCGAUGAUACAUAGCUGAACUGAGAGGGUGGUCGGCCCCAUUUGGAAUGGGACACCGCCCCAACUCCUUCGGGGAGCCGCCGUAGGGGAUCUUCGGCCAUGGGCGGAAGUCUUGCCGCGCCACGCCGCGUUGGGUGAGAAGGUUUUCGGGUCGGAAAACUCUGUUGGUUGGGGAGAAAGUUGGUGAGAGUGAAACGCUCAUCUAGUGACGGUAACUACACAGAAAGCGACGGCUAACUACGUG
RNAcentral lists this ribosomal RNA (497 nucleotides) under uncultured bacterium. RNAcentral's name for it is "partial 16S ribosomal RNA". It matches the Rfam family "Bacterial small subunit ribosomal RNA", at positions 28 to 507 of the family's 1533-position model. The record is from RNAcentral.